AUUGAACGCUGGCGGCAGGCCUAACACAUGCAAGUCGAACGAUAACAGGAAGAAGCUUGCUUCUUUGCUGACGAGUGGCGGACGGGUGAGUAAUGUCUGGGAAACUGCCUGAUGGAGGGGGAUAACUACUGGAAACGGUAGCUAAUACCGCAUAACGUCGCAAGACCAAAGAGGGGGACCUUCGGGCCUCUUGCCAUCGGAUGUGCCCAGAUGGGAUUAGCUAGUAGGUGGGGUAACGGCUCACCUAGGCGACGAUCCCUAGCUGGUCUGAGAGGAUGACCAGCCACACUGGAACUGAGACACGGUCCAGACUCCUACGGGAGGCAGCAGUGGGGAAUAUUGCACAAUGGGCGCAAGCCUGAUGCAGCCAUGCCGCGUGUAUGAAGAAGGCCUUCGGGUUGUAAAGUACUUUCAGCGGGGAGGAAGGGAGUAAAGUUAAUACCUUUACUCAUUGACGUUACCCGCAGAAGAAGCACCGGCUAACUCCGUG
This 490-nucleotide ribosomal RNA is filed under the name uncultured bacterium. Its description in RNAcentral is "partial 16S ribosomal RNA". It matches the Rfam family "Bacterial small subunit ribosomal RNA", at positions 30 to 507 of the family's 1533-position model. The record is from RNAcentral.